Long non-coding RNA from Bufo bufo (common toad), 549 nucleotides. RefSeq lists it as uncharacterized. The transcript is spliced from 3 exons. Lineage: Eukaryota; Metazoa; Chordata; Amphibia; Anura; Bufonidae. The record is from RefSeq and is a predicted model, not a curated record.
UUGCAUUACCGGUACGGAUCCGUCUGUGCAGAUACCAGACGGAUCCGCACUGGACGCAGGUGUGAAAGUAGCCUUACUCGAAUACACCUCUAUUUCUUUACCGGUGAUUUCUAAAUAAAUGGAUAUAAUAAGUAUUUUGUCUCUUGCUUUUGGAGGAACAAGUGAUUCCCAAGGUCGUUUUUUCAUAUCACACAGUACGGAGAAUACGCCAGCAUAACUGUAGAUCAAGAUCUUCUUAAACCCAGCUUUAUUGAAUGAUCCAAGUCAUGUACAGAAAUUCUCUUAAAACCGUGCAUGUGUUUGAAUCAGUAAAACAAGAGGAUAUUUGUGCAUGACUAUGAAGUGCUCUCUGCUUCACAGCCCCUCCCCUCUGUCCUGAGUGACAGCUGUAGCAUCCAACCAGAAGACCACUACUGCUGUCACGCAGAGGGGAGGGGCUGUGAAGCAACUCAAGGCAGAGAGCACUUCACAGUGAAGCUCCACCUCCAGUGCACUUCAGGAUUCUAGCAGAAUAAAAUUUUAUAUACACACUACUCCUGCUGAAAAAAG